UAUGUCUGCUGACCAUCACCUU
RNAcentral lists this microRNA (22 nucleotides) under Macaca mulatta (Rhesus monkey). RNAcentral's name for it is "mml-miR-654-3p". Its record names the gene mml-miR-654-3p. RNAcentral also lists the same sequence under 5 other names. Lineage: Eukaryota; Metazoa; Chordata; Mammalia; Primates; Cercopithecidae. The record is from miRBase by way of RNAcentral.